CGCGAAGAACCUUACCCAGGCUUGACAUGGAUGGGAAAGCCUCUGGAAACAGGGGCCCCUCUUCGGAGCUCAUUCACAGGUGCUGCAUGGCUGUCGUCAGCUCGUGUCGUGAGAUGUUGGGCUAAGUCCUGCAACGAGCGCAACCCUUGCCCUUAGUUACCAGCGAGUAAAGUCGGGGACUCUAGGGGGACUGCCGGUGCCAAGCCGGAGGAAGGUGGGGACGACGUCAAGUCAUCAUGGUCCUUACGUCUGGGGCUACACACGUGCUACAAUGGCCGGUACAGAGGGCUGCGAAAGAGCAAUCUCGAGCCAAUCCCUAAAGCCGGCCUCAGUUCGGAUUGUCGUCUGCAACUCGACGGCAUGAAGCUGGAAUCGCUAGUAAUCGCGGAUCAGCGACGCCGCGGUGAAUACGUUCCCGGGCCUUGUACACACCG
RNAcentral lists this ribosomal RNA (434 nucleotides) under uncultured bacterium. Its description in RNAcentral is "bacterial SSU rRNA". It matches the Rfam family "Bacterial small subunit ribosomal RNA", at positions 960 to 1392 of the family's 1533-position model. The record is from RNAcentral.